AGAGUUUGAUCCUGGCUCAGAUUGAACGCUGGCGGCAUGCCUUACACAUGCAAGUCGAACGGUAACAGGUUAAGCUGACGAGUGGCGAACGGGUGAGUAAUAUAUCGGAACGUGCCCAGUUGUGGGGGAUAACUGCUCGAAAGAGCAGCUAAUACCGCAUACGACCUGAGGGUGAAAGCGGGGGAUCGCAAGACCUCGCGCAAUUGGAGCGGCCGAUAUCAGAUUAGCUAGUUGGCGGGGUAAAAGCCCACCAAGGCGACGAUCUGUAGCUGGUCUGAGAGGACGACCAGCCACACUGGGACUGAGACACGGCCCAGACUCCUACGGGAGGCAGCAGUGGGGAAUUUUGGACAAUGGACGCAAGUCUGAUCCAGCCAUGCCGCGUGCGGGAAGAAGGCCUUCGGGUUGUAAACCGCUUUUGUCAGGGAAGAAACGCUCUGGGCUAAUACCCUGGGGUAAUGACGGUACCUGAAGAAUAAGCACCGGCUAACUACGUGCCAGCAGCCGCGGUAAUACGGAGGAUCCAAGCGUUAUCCGGAAUCAUCGGGUUUAAAGGGUCCGUAGGCGGUUUAGUAAGUCAGUGGUGAAAGCCCAUCGCUCAACGGUGGAACGGCCAUUGAUACUGCUAAACUUGAAUUAUUAGGAAGUAACUAGAAUAUGUAGUGUAGCGGUGAAAUGCUUAGAGAUUACAUGGAAUACCAAUUGCGAAGGCAGGUUACUACUAAUGGAUUGACGCUGAUGGACGAAAGCGUGAGUAGCGAACAGGAUUAGAUACCCUGGUAGUCC
This 786-nucleotide ribosomal RNA is filed under the name uncultured bacterium. Its description in RNAcentral is "bacterial SSU rRNA". It matches the Rfam family "Bacterial small subunit ribosomal RNA", at positions 8 to 796 of the family's 1533-position model. The record is from RNAcentral.